AGAGUUUGAUCCUGGCUCAGGAUGAACGCUAGCGGCAGGCUUAACACAUGCAAGUCGAGGGGCAGCGAGGGUAGCAAUACCUGUCGGCGACCGGCGCAAGGGUGCGUAACGCGUGAGCAACAUGCCCGUAUCAAGGGGAUAAUCCAGGGAAACUUGGUCUAAUACCCCAUAGUAAUCGUUUAAGGCAUCUUAAAUGAUUUAAAGCUUAGGUGGAUACGGAUUGGCUCGCGUGACAUUAGUUAGAUGGUAAGGUAACGGCUUACCAUGACUAUGAUGUCUAGGGGUUCUGAGAGGAAGGUCCCCCACACUGGAACUGAGACACGGUCCAGACUCCUAC
RNAcentral lists this ribosomal RNA (337 nucleotides) under uncultured bacterium. Its description in RNAcentral is "bacterial SSU rRNA". It matches the Rfam family "Bacterial small subunit ribosomal RNA", at positions 8 to 342 of the family's 1533-position model. The record is from RNAcentral.